Molecule: ribosomal RNA, 406 nt
Filed under: uncultured bacterium
Lineage: Bacteria
Description: partial 16S ribosomal RNA
Rfam family: Bacterial small subunit ribosomal RNA
Source: RNAcentral
AUUGAACGCUGGCGGCAGGCCUAACACAUGCAAGUCGAACGAGUGGCGGACGGGUGUGUAACGUCUGUGAAACGGCCUGUUGGCGGGGGAUAAUUACUGGAAACGGUAGCUAUUACCGCAUACCUUCAGAUGUGCCCAGAGGGGAUUAGCUUGUUGGUGGGGUAACGGCUCACCAGGGCGACGAUCCCUAGCUGGUUGGAGAGGGUGACCGGCCCACCGGGAACGGAGACACGGUCCAGACCCCUAUGGGAGGCAGCAUGGGGGAAUAUUGCACAAUGGGGGCAAGCCGGAUGCAGCAAGGCCGCGUGGUGGAAGAAGGCCUUCGGGUUGUAAAGUACUUUCAGCGGGGAGGCGUUACCCAAAGAAGAAGCACCGGCUAACUCCGUGCCAGCAGCCGCGGUAAUUC